UCUCAGGAAAGCACCAACUAUCAUCUACCC
Molecule: non-coding RNA, 30 nt
Filed under: Mus musculus (house mouse)
Lineage: Eukaryota; Metazoa; Chordata; Mammalia; Rodentia; Muridae
Source: RNAcentral